Molecule: ribosomal RNA, 323 nt
Filed under: uncultured bacterium
Lineage: Bacteria
Description: bacterial SSU rRNA
Rfam family: Bacterial small subunit ribosomal RNA
Source: RNAcentral
GACGAACGCUGGCGGCGUGCCUAACACAUGCAAGUCGAACGGGGCUCUUUGGAUCGAGACUUCGGUCAAGUGAAUCUGAGCUUAGUGGCGGACGGGUGAGUAACGCGUGAGCAACCUGCCUUUCAGAGGGGGACAACAGUUGGAAACGACUGCUAAUACCGCAUAAUGUCAUUUGGGGGCAUCCCUGGAUGACCAAAGAUUUAUUGCUGAAAGAUGGUCUCGCGUCUGAUUAGCUGGUUGGCGGGGUAACGGCCCACCAAGGCGACGAUCAGUAGCCGGUCUGAGAGGAUGAACGGCCACAUUGGGACUGAGAUACGGCCCAG